GAUGAACGCUGGCGGCGUGCCUAAUACAUGCAAGUCGAGCGAACGGACGAGAAGCUUGCUUCUCUGAUGUUAGCGGCGGACGGGUGAGUAACACGUGGAUAACCUACCUAUAAGACUGGGAUAACUUCGGGAAACCGGAGCUAAUACCGGAUAAUAUUUUGAACCGCAUGGUUCAAAAGUGAAAGACGGUCUUGCUGUCACUUAUAGAUGGAUCCGCGCUGCAUUAGCUAGUUGGUAAGGUAACGGCUUACCAAGGCAACGAUGCAUAGCCGACCUGAGAGAGUGGUCGGCCACCCGGGAACGGAGACACGGUCCAGACUCCUACGGGAGGCAGCAGUAGGGAAUCUUCCGCAAUGGGCGAAAGCCUUACGGAGCAACGCCGCGUGAGUGAUGAAGGUCUUCGGAUCGUGAAACUCUGUUAUUGGUGAAGAACAUAUGUGUAAGUAACUGUGCACAUCUUGACGGUACCUAAUCAGAAAGCCACGGCUAACUACGUG
This 497-nucleotide ribosomal RNA is filed under the name uncultured bacterium. RNAcentral describes it as "partial 16S ribosomal RNA". It matches the Rfam family "Bacterial small subunit ribosomal RNA", at positions 28 to 507 of the family's 1533-position model. The record is from RNAcentral.